AGCGUGACCAGCAAACAUGCUGCUGCUGGCAGCGCUUGUCUCCACAGCCGCUUGGUCUUGUGGAUUUGCACAAGAAAUUCCCGUACAGAGCCCUGUAUCCAUCACCAAGUUUGAAAAAAGUGCACGCAUGUCAUGUGAAAUUGAAUCAUUAGGGGACAAAUUUGAUGACACCGUCAUACAUUGGUAUCAACAGAAGGAGGGUGAAGCUCCAGAGAGGCUCCUGUUCUUUUCAGGAGGGAAACCUUCAGUUGAAAGUGGUUUUCAAGCUAAUAGGUACAUGGUUGAAAAUGUUUCUGGACAGAAACGAUGCGUUCUUACGAUAAAAGAUGUAACUCCAGAUGACACUGCUACUUACUACUGCGCCUACUGGGAUCCUCACCGUGAUAGAAACUUAAAGAUCAUCAAGGCAAAAACCCCCAUCCCUCAGUGUCUUAACCACAGGGUUGUAACUGUGGCACUCCCCAAUCUUUCCCUCCAGUAUCAGCUGCAGGAAGGCGAAAAACCUUUUCCUGCUACCCACAAAGACCAGCUCACCCUGCACAACUAUCCUUUUCAAAUUCUGGGUGGUCAUUAG
Chroicocephalus ridibundus (black-headed gull) is the source of this 574-nucleotide non-coding RNA. The record is from the annotation of a RefSeq genome assembly. Lineage: Eukaryota; Metazoa; Chordata; Aves; Charadriiformes; Laridae.